AUCCCUUUUUUACCAAUGAGAAAAAUGAGUCCAAAGCAAUAAGUGAUGCAUUAAGUCCAUACAUUAAGUUGAGGUAAAAUUAAAUAUCUACUUCAAAAAAAGUCAAUAACUACAAACCUCUAAAAAGAUGUUUCAUAUCAUCAAUAAUCAAUAAACUCAUGGCUCCCAUUUAAAACUUUUAAAAUGUGCUGCCUGCUAACUUUUACAUUCAUAUUAAUCACACCAUUUCCCAGAUUUAAGAAUUUUAUCCCACAGCAGCUGGCCAGAAAGGUAUGUAGCUCUACUUCACAAUUAGCGCAAGGCAAGUUCACAGUAAUAAAUGACGAUGGUCCUUGAGAGUGUCAACAAUGAAAAUAGUCUCCUUUCUCCCAAUCCUAAGUAUGUUAAAGGGUCUACAACCUUAGACUGCUAUCUCAAA
Molecule: long non-coding RNA, 418 nt
Organism: Phyllostomus discolor (pale spear-nosed bat)
Lineage: Eukaryota; Metazoa; Chordata; Mammalia; Chiroptera; Phyllostomidae
Exons: 3
Source: RefSeq, a predicted model, not a curated record